UAGGGAAUCUUCCGCAAUGGAUGCAAGUCUGACGGAGCAACGCCGCGUGAGUGAAGAAGGAUUUCGGUUCGUAAAACUCUGUUGUUAGAGAAGAACAGCGCAUAGAGUAACUGUUAUGCGUGUGACGGUAUCUAACCAGAAAGCCACGGCUAACUACGUGCCAGCAGCCGCGGUAAUACGUAGGUGGCAAGCGUUGUCCGGAUUUAUUGGGCGUAAAGCGAGCGCAGGCGGUCAAUUAAGUCUGGUGUGAAAGCCCCCGGCUCAACCGGGGAGUGUCAUUGGAAACUGGUUGACUUGAGUGCAGAAGAGGAGAGUGGAGUUCCAUGUGUAGCGGUGAAAUGCGUAGCUAUAUGGAGGAACACCAGUGGCGAAGGCGACUCUCUGGUCUGUAACUGACGCGGAGGCUCGAAAGCGUGGGUAGCAAACAGG
Molecule: ribosomal RNA, 429 nt
Filed under: Bacteroidota bacterium
Lineage: Bacteria; Pseudomonadati; Bacteroidota
Description: Bacteroidetes bacterium partial 16S ribosomal RNA
Rfam family: Bacterial small subunit ribosomal RNA
Source: RNAcentral